This is an RNA transcript of Mandrillus leucophaeus (drill), 4726 nucleotides long. It is a transcript of the gene named DENN/MADD domain containing 2C, with no coding region annotated. The transcript has 18 exons. The record is from RefSeq and is a predicted model, not a curated record. Lineage: Eukaryota; Metazoa; Chordata; Mammalia; Primates; Cercopithecidae.
UCACCAUCUUAGGAGUGCCUUUAUGUAGUUGAAUCACUUAAUAGAUGACAGGUAUGUUUUUACAUGUGCAAUGUAUAUGAAUUAUGUAGGGAUAGGUGGGCAGUAUUUCAGUGGAGUUUUAAUUAGGAAAUUAUAAAAUGUGUUAACAUAUUUUUGUGUCAUUUUCACAGGAUUAUUCAAGAUCAGGUUGUAGCCAUUUUCAACAAGGAUCACUGAUCAAAAUUGUUCUUUUUACAAAGAGAUUUACAAGUUAAACAUGAAGGGAAAAUACUGGAAUCAUUUGGAUUCUGACAGGAUAAAAAAUACAAUAUUUCACAUUUACUUGUAAUGGAACCUUUGUAAGAUUAAUCACUUGUCAUUCACCCAGUUGGGAACAUGGAUGUUGGUUUUUCUCGUACUGCUGUUCAGACACUGUCAAGAAGCCACUGCAAAAAUAUCAAACAAAAAAUUUCUCAAUGGGAAGGAAGGGCUAAUAUAUCUAAUCCAGAAAAGUGGUGUCCAAAGGACUUUGGAGUGAGAUAUAACUGUCACCAAGCGAUCCUUCCUAAGAAAAAUCCUAUAGCUGACACAAAGAGCAAAAACUUGGAUGUAACCAGCUGUGAGAAUGUAGGUCUAGAUGUAAAUGAAGAUACCAAAAGCCAUGAUCAAAGUGAGAAUGAAAAUAAGAAACAGGAAUAUGAUGAUACACACUUCUUUAAAAAUGAAUCAGAAUCCAACUGGGUAUGUUCUCGGGUCAAAGAAAUUGAAAGCUGUAAAGAAGAUGUCUUAGAUCCAGAGACUUCAUUACCUCCAGGAAACUUCUAUACCUCACAAAUACUGUGGAAGAAAAUAGAAGCACUUCCCCCAGAUAAACUCUUAAAUUUGGCUUUAGAACAUUGUGACUCUUCAGAAAAAGAACUGAACUUCAGAGUUCUGGAUAGUUCAUAUGGAAUAACCAAGAGCUUAGAAAAUAUUUACUCUGAGCCUGAGGGGCAAGAAUGUGGACCUUCCAUAAAUCCUUUGCCAAAACCUCAUAGGACAUUCAGAUAUUUAUCUGAAUCUGGUGUUAUGCCGUAUAAAGAAAGAAAUUGUGACAAAAAAUACUGUGAAAAUAAUUCUUGUGCACAAUCUUCUUUGGCCUCUUCUCAGGAACCUGAACCAAAGAAAUAUGGUGGAAAAAUAAGAGGAAGAUCUAAAAGGAAAUCCUUUGAAUUUGAGGAUAUUCAGCACUUUCGAAAUCGGAACACACAGACGAUUCAUGAAGAACUUGGAAAAAAUUCUGGGUCAGCACUUUAUUACACACAGUCUGAGGACAAUAUCUAUGAAGAUAUCAUAUAUCCCACCAAAGAAAAUCCAUAUGAAGAUAUUCCAGUGCAGCCUUUACCUAUGUGGAGAUCCCCUUCAGCAUGGAAGCUACCACCCGCUAAAAGUGCUUUUAAAGCGCCCAAGCUUGUAUUGAAAAUAGAUGACAUAUUUGAAUCUAAAAGAGGGAAGAAGAAGGUAAAGUUACAUUCUUACACUGGAAAGGAAUUACCUCCAACAAAAGGUGAAACCAGUGGGAACGAAAGUGAUGCCGAGUAUCUGCCAAAGAAUCGCCAUAAACGCUUAGCACAACUGCAACAGUCUUCCAAGAGGAAUCCUCACUACCAGACCUUGGAGCGGGAUCUUAUUGAAUUACAGGAGCAGCAGCUGUUUGAACUUUUUGUGGUGGUGUCUCUACAGAAGAAACCAUCAGGAAUAAACUGUAUUCCCCAGGUCAUACAACAAUUCCCCGGCAAGGACGAUCAUGGCUAUAAGCAGUCCAAAGACACGGAAGAGAGGCUUAAAGUUAUCCCAAAAUUUUGUUUUCCUGAUUCAAAGGACUGGAUGCCAACCUCAGAACUCAAGAGUGAAACAUUCUCCUUUGUCUUGACUGGUGAAGAUGGAAGCCGGUGGUUUGGUUACUGUAAGAAGCUCUUGCCAGGAGGCAAAGGAAAGCGACUCCCUGAGGUAUACUGCAUGGUUAGUCGCCUAGGCUGCUUCAAUCUUUUUUCAAAGAUUCUGGAUGAAGUAGAGAAGAGAAGAGAAAUGUCUCCAGCCCUUGUUUACCCAUUCAUGCGAAGUGUCAUAGAAGCUCCUUUCCCAGCUCCUGGACGCACCAUCACAGUUAAGAGUUACCUCCCUGGGGCUGGAGAUGAGUCCAUUGAACUCUGCCGACCACUAGAUUCCCGAUUGGAACAUGUUGAUUUUGAAUGUCUCUUUAAGUGCCUGAGUGUGUGUCAUCUCAUCCGCGUCUGUGCCUCUCUCCUUUUGGAGCGUAGGGUAAUCUUUGUUGCCAACAGCCUAAGCACCCUGUCAAAAUGUGGCCAUGCUGUGGUAGCUACACUGUAUCCGUUCACCUGGCAGCAUACCUACAUCCCAGUCCUGCCAGCAUCUAUGAUUGACAUCGUCUGCUCACCUACUCCAUUCCUUAUUGGAAUCCUGUCUUGCUCCUUACCACAGCUCCAGGACCUACCCAUUGAAGAGGUGCUGAUAGUUGAUCUCUGUGCAGACAAGUUCUUACAGGAGGUAUCUGAUGAGGAUGAAAUUCUACCACCAAAACUUCAAGCUGCCCUGAUGCAGAUUUUGGAAGAACGAAAUGAAAUCUUGACUCAGGAGCAGAAUUUUUCACAAGAUGUGACACUCAACUCUCUGGUGUCUGAAGCAUUUGUCAGGUUUUUUGUGGAGUUGGUAGGACAUUAUUCUUUGAACAUGACUGUCACGGAGCGUGGGGAGCGUGUUUUCCAACGGGAACCAUUCCGUAAGUCUCACACCUCCCGAAGUGUACGCCACUUCCUGGAUCUCUUCAUGGAGACUCAGAUGUUUGCAGGAUUCAUCCAGGACCGAGAGCUCCGGAAAAGUGGAGUUAAAGGUUUGUUUGAGGUCCGGGCCAUCCAGUAUUUGGAAACAAUUCCUGAGUCAGAGCCCAGUGGGAUGAAUAGAAUUUUGCGGAGUCUUGGAAGUAAAAUGAAAUUUCUGCAGAAGAAAUGAAACCUCUGAUUGUCUCCAUCCUGAAUAUACAACAGAAAGUGCCAAAGAAAAUAUUUUUCCAAGGGUCAGGAUCCCAUGAAGUAUUCUACAAAAUUCUUGAAAUUUUAAAAGGUUAAAGAGCGAGUCAGGCUGUCGGAGGAGGAUUCUCCUGUUGCUGCUGUAGUAAUUACUGGAGAAUUGUUGGGAAUGGUCUGGAACCAAUGCCAUCUUUACUCUGUCUCCAUUUUUUUUUUUUUUAUUUUUAUAGCAGCCUUUUCUAUGUAAUUCUUGGGCUCAUUCUCUGUUUUGUGCUUCAUCUAUGAAAGUAGUUGUCUUUCACAAGGAAAAGUCUUGUUGUUACAUUUUUAAAAAUAGCUCAAAGAUGAGAAUAAGGAGAGAAAUGCUGAGUUUAACACAGUAGAGAGACACGAUGGAAAUGGAGAACACUGGCCUUAUACGCGUAAUUCUCAUCACUGAACUAUCAUGGCAGCUUUAAAUCCAUGGGCUGUUUGACCUGGGCAAAGGAAUAGACUCAUCACAUAUCUCCAUUAUUUUGUCUUAUAUUAUAUCUAGGGGAAUCUCAGGAGGAAGCCCUACUUGUAAUAUUAUAAAGUACUGUUAUUAAGUACCUUAUAAAAUUAGACAUCUUGCAACUCCUCCUCCAAAUUGUGUAGCAUUUGAGUAGCUUGCUUGUCCCUCACAUGUCAACAUUAAACUUUGUGGAGGCUGGAUCCAGUGGCUCACGCUUGUAAUCUCCACCACUUUGGGAGGCUAAGGCAGGAGUUUGAGGGUAGGAGUUUGAGACCAGCCUGGGCAACGUAGCAAGAUCCUAUCUCUACAAAAACAUUUUAAAAAUAAGUAAAUAAAUUUAAACUUUGUGGAAUUAUAACUAUUAUGAAAAUGUCCUCUCAAGGGCAUGGGAGCCACCUUUAUUUUUUAGUGUCCACCAUGUGCCAUGCACUGUGGUAUAUGUAUGCAUAUCAUCUCAACCAAUCCUUAAAUCAACCUUAUGGGAUAGAUAUUUACAUCUCCAUUUUACUAAUAAAGAAACUAAGGCUGGUGCUGGGAUUACAGGCAUGAGUCAGUGCACCGGGCCUGUUUGUUGUUGUUUUUUUUUUUCAAAUUAAUGGGCAAAUUCAAGUUCAGAUGGUGCACUUUUCAUUUAUUAAUGCUAUAGCAAAUGUCAGUUUGUUUUCUUCAGUUUCUGCUGAUGGUUUCAGCUGGCACAGAAAGUAUUUAUUCAACCUUACAAAACUGUUAAGUUGUAUUGUGAUACAGUUUAUUGACUUGUACAGUAUUUCAUUACAACCCAUUCAGGUAUGCAUGAACCUGAAGCAGAACACCAUUUAAGACUGGUGCUGUAUAAUAUAAUUCCUACAGAUGUGGGUCCAGGGAAUAGAACUGAGCCUUUUUUUAAAUGUUAAGCAGAUUACCCUAAUGGGGCUUCUACUAGACAUCUCUCCAUUUGGUCUCUUCUUACACUCCAACCCAGCGGGAACAGUUAAUAAUUGGAUGUUUAUAAAAUGGGGGUAAAAGGGUUUACUGUGAUGGAUCCUGGCUAUCCCUUUAGGAGGAGACCUUUGCUUCAGGAAUGCUGUCUUCGUCUUUGCAGCCUGAAGCUGCUUCAUUUCCUUAGGUCUGUUGUGUUUUGUUUCUGUAAAGUGUUAUGAAUUCUGGAUAUUUUUGUAAAAGAAUCAAGAUUUGUAUAAAAUGUUGUUUACAGAUCUUUUAAUGAAUAAAUACAUAAAAACCCCACAGA